CGGAUUGUAGCGCAGCUUGGUAGCGCACUGUCAUGGGGUGUCAGGGGUCGGAGGUUCGAAUCCUCUCAAUCCGACCA
RNAcentral lists this transfer RNA (77 nucleotides) under Catenovulum adriaticum. Its description in RNAcentral is "Catenovulum sp. TS8 tRNA-Pro". It matches the Rfam family "tRNA". Rfam says of the family: Transfer RNA (tRNA) molecules are approximately 80 nucleotides in length. Their secondary structure includes four short double-helical elements and three loops (D, anti-codon, and T loops). The record is from RNAcentral. Lineage: Bacteria; Pseudomonadati; Pseudomonadota; Gammaproteobacteria; Alteromonadales; Alteromonadaceae.